Molecule: ribosomal RNA, 480 nt
Filed under: uncultured bacterium
Lineage: Bacteria
Description: partial 16S ribosomal RNA
Rfam family: Bacterial small subunit ribosomal RNA
Source: RNAcentral
GAUGAACGCUGGCGGCGUGCUUAACACAUGCAAGUCGAACGAAGCACUUUAGUUGAUUUCCUUCGGGACUGAUUAUUUUGUGACUGAGUGGCGGACGGGUGAGUAACUCGUGGGUAACCUGCCUUGUACAGGGGGAGAACAGUUGGAAACGGCUGCUAAUACCGCAUAAGCGCACAGCAUCGCAUGAUGCAGUGUGAAAAACUCCGGUGGUAUAAGAUGGACCCGCGUUGGAUUAGCUAGUUGGUGAGGUAACGGCCCACCAAGGCGACGAUCCAUAGCCGACCGGAGAGGGUGACCGGCCACAUUGGGACUGAGCCACGGCCCAAACUCGUACGAGAGGCAGCAGUGGGGAAUAUUGCACAAUGGGCGAAAGCCUGAUGCAGCGACGCCGCGAGAGCGAAGAAGUAUUUCGGUAUGUAAAGCUCUAUCAGCAGGGAAGAUAAGGACGGUACCGGACUAGGAAGCACCGGCUAAAUACGU